GUGGGGAAUAUUCCGCAAUGGGCGCAAGCCUGACGGAGCAACGCCGCGUGAAUGAAGACGGUCUUCGGAUUGUAAAGUUCUGUCAUGAGGGACGAAGGACUCAUGUAAAUAAUAUGAGGAAUGACGGUACCUAAGGAGGAAGCUCCGGCUAACUACGUGCCAGCAGCCGCGGUAAUACGUAGGGAGCAAGCGUUGUCCGGAAUUACUGGGCGUAAAGGGCGCGUAGGCGGAUAAUUAAGUCAGAUGUGAAAUCUCCAGGCUUAACUUGGAGCGUGCAUUGGAAACUGGUUAUCUUGAGGGCAGGAGAGGAAAGUGGAAUUCCUAGUGUAGCGGUGAAAUGCGUAGAUAUUAGGAGGAACACCAGUGGCGAAGGCGACUUACUGGGCCGUAACUGACGCUGAUGCGCGAAAGCGUGGGGAGCGAACAGGAUUAGAAACCCCAGUAGUCC
This 448-nucleotide ribosomal RNA is filed under the name uncultured bacterium. RNAcentral describes it as "partial 16S ribosomal RNA". It matches the Rfam family "Bacterial small subunit ribosomal RNA", at positions 354 to 796 of the family's 1533-position model. The record is from RNAcentral.